RNAcentral lists this long non-coding RNA (228 nucleotides) under Jatropha curcas. RNAcentral describes it as "long non-coding RNA (JCUR_LNC000769)". Lineage: Eukaryota; Viridiplantae; Streptophyta; Magnoliopsida; Malpighiales; Euphorbiaceae. The record is from RNAcentral.
ACAGCACAAAUAAUCAAACAAUUCAUUUAUCAUAAUACACCAAUUUCAUCCAAAUGCACAAUUAUAUAUAAGUAUAAUUAUAGUGAUCGUAACAUAAUAUAUAUGAUAAAAUACUUAUAAUAUAUUGUAAAUAUGUAAAUAAAAAUAUAAUGUUUAUAAAUAAAUGUUAUGCAAAUGCAGUGUUGAUAUGCAUUAUUUAUUAUUACUCACAGUGAUGGAGAACUAGGC